UACGAGUUGUGCAAACGUUAUUCGGAAUCACUGGGCUUAAAGGGUGCGUAGGCGGCUACGAAAGUCAGGUGUGAAAUCCCUCGGCUCAACCGAGGAACUGCGCUUGAAACUACAUAGCUUGAGGGAGACAGAGGUGAGCGGAACUGAUGGUGGAGCGGUGAAAUGCGUUGAUAUCAUCAGGAACACCGGUGGCGAAAGCGGCUCACUGGGUCUUAUCUGACGCUGAGGCACGAAAGCCAGGGGAGCAAACGGG
This 253-nucleotide ribosomal RNA is filed under the name uncultured bacterium. RNAcentral's name for it is "partial 16S ribosomal RNA". It matches the Rfam family "Bacterial small subunit ribosomal RNA", at positions 524 to 776 of the family's 1533-position model. The record is from RNAcentral.